UCUAAGCACAUGCCUUAAUACGGUGAAGCCGCGAAUAGCUCAUUACAACAGCCAUCGUUUACUAGAAUAUCGUUAUCCUACUUGGAUAACUGUGGCAAUUCUAGAGCUAAUACAUGCAUAAAAGCCCUGCCCGCAAGGAAAGGGCGCAUUUAUUAGAAUAAAAACCAAUCGGGUCUCGGCCCGUAGUUUGGUGAAUCUGAAUAACUUUGCCAAUCGCACAGUCCUAGUACUGGCGAUGUAUCUUUCAAGUGUCUGCCUUAUCAACUUUCGAUGGUAGGUUAUACGCCUACCAUGGUAGUAACGGGUAACGGAGAAUAAGGGUUCGACUCCGGAGAGGGAGCCUGAGAAACGGCUACCACAUCCAAGGAAGGCAGCAGGCGCGCAAAUUACCCACUUCCAGAACGGAGAGGUAGUGACGAAAAAUAACGAGACAGUCCUCUUCGAGGUCUGUCAUCGGAAUGGGUACAAUUUAAA
This 474-nucleotide ribosomal RNA is filed under the name unidentified nematode Sourhope farm. RNAcentral describes it as "SSU rRNA". It matches the Rfam family "Eukaryotic small subunit ribosomal RNA", at positions 58 to 529 of the family's 1831-position model. Lineage: Eukaryota; Metazoa; Nematoda. The record is from RNAcentral.